CGAAAGGCGUAGUCGAUGGGAAACAGGUUAAUAUUCCUGUACUUGGUGUUACUGCGAAGGGGGGACGGAGAAGGCUAUGUUGGCCGGGCGACGGUUGUCCCGGUUUAAGCGUGUAGGCUGGUUUUCCAGGCAAAUCCGGAAAAUCAAGGCUGAGGCGUGAUGACGAGGCACUACGGUGCUGAAGCAACAAAUGCCCUGCUUCCAGGAAAAGCCUCUAAGCAUCAGGUAACAUCAAAUCGUACCCCAAACCGACACAGGUGGUCAGGUAGAGAAUACCAAGGCGCUUGAGAGAACUCGGGUGAAGGAACUAGGCAAAAUGGUGCCGUAACUUCGGGAGAAGG
RNAcentral lists this ribosomal RNA (341 nucleotides) under Escherichia coli. Its description in RNAcentral is "partial 23S ribosomal RNA". It matches the Rfam family "Bacterial large subunit ribosomal RNA", at positions 1403 to 1746 of the family's 2925-position model. The record is from RNAcentral. Lineage: Bacteria; Pseudomonadati; Pseudomonadota; Gammaproteobacteria; Enterobacterales; Enterobacteriaceae.